AACGAACGCUGGCGGCAGGCCUAACACAUGCAAGUCGAGCGCGCGCUUCGGGGUGAGCGGCGGAUGGGGGUGUAACGCGUGGGAACGUGCCCUUUUCUAUGGAAUAGCCUCGGGAAACUGAGAGUAAUGCCGUAUACGCCCUUUUGGGGAAAGAUUUAUCGGAAAAGGAUCGGCCGGCGUUGGAUUAGGUAGUUGGUGGGGUAAUGGCGUACCAAGCCGUGGAUCCAUAGCUGGUUUGAGAGGAUGCGCAGCCACACUGGGAGUAGGAAACGGCCCAGACUCCUACGGGAGGCAGCAGAGGCGAAUCUUAGAAAAUCGGGGCAACGAUGAACGAGCCAUGCCGGGUGAGUGAUGAAGGUCUUAGGGUAGUAAAGCUCUUUAAGCUGGGAAGAUAAUGACGGUACCAGCAGAAGAAGCCCCGGCUAACUCCGUG
Molecule: ribosomal RNA, 433 nt
Filed under: uncultured bacterium
Lineage: Bacteria
Description: partial 16S ribosomal RNA
Rfam family: Bacterial small subunit ribosomal RNA
Source: RNAcentral